UCGAUUGUCCCAGCCGCCGCGGUAAUACGUAGGGUGCAAGCGUUAUCCGGAAUUAUUGGGCGUAAAGGGCUCGUAGGCGGUUCGUCGCGUCCGGUGUGAAAGUCCAUCGCUUAACGGUGGAUUCGCGCCGGGUACGGGCGGGCUUGAGUGCGGUAGGGGAGACUGGAAUUCCCGGUGUAACGGUGGAAUGUGUAGAUAUCGGGAAGGACACCAAUGGCGAAGGCAGGUCUCUGGGCCGUUACUGACGCUGAGGAGCGAAAGCGUGGGGAGCGAACAGGAUUAGAUACCCUGGUAGUCCACGCCGUAAACGGUGGAUGCUGGAUGUGGGGCCCGUUCCACGGGUUCCGUGUCGGAGCUAACGCGUUAAGCAUCCCGCCUGGGGAGUACGGCCGCAAGGCUAAAACUCAAAGAAAUUGACGGGGGCCCGCACAAGCGGCGGAGCAUGCGGAUUAAUUCGAUGCAACGCGAAGAACCUUACCUGGGCUUGACAUGUUCCCGACGAUCCCAGAGAUGGGGUUUCCCUUCGGGGCGGGUUCACAGGUGGUGCAUGGUCGUCGUCAGCUCGUGUCGUGAGAUGUUGGGUUAAGUCCCGCAACGAGCGCAACCCUCGCCCCGUGUUGCCAGCGGAUUGUGCCGGGAACUCACGGGGGACCGCCGGGGUUAACUCGGAGGAAGGUGGGGAUGACGUCAGAUCAUCAUGCCCCUUACGUCCAGGGCUUCACGCAUGCUACAAUGGCCGGUACAACGGGAUGCGACGCGGCGACGCGGAGCGGAUCCCUGAAAACCGGUCUCAGUUCGGAUCGCAGUCUGCAACUCGACUGCGUGAAGGCGGAGUCGCUAGUAAUCGCGAAUCAGCAACGUCGCGGUGAAUGCGUUCCCGGGCCUUGUACACACCGCCCGUCAAGUCAUGAAAGUGGGCAGCACCCGAAGCCGGUGGCCUAACCCCUUGUGGGAUGGAGCCGUCUAAGGUGAGGCUCGUGAUUGGGACUAAGUCGUAACAAGGUAACCA
RNAcentral lists this ribosomal RNA (1009 nucleotides) under uncultured Bifidobacterium sp. RNAcentral's name for it is "bacterial SSU rRNA". It matches the Rfam family "Bacterial small subunit ribosomal RNA", at positions 497 to 1502 of the family's 1533-position model. The record is from RNAcentral. Lineage: Bacteria; Bacillati; Actinomycetota; Actinomycetes; Bifidobacteriales; Bifidobacteriaceae.